GAGAACGCAUAGCUGCAGCUUGCUACCAAUGACGAAGAUAUCGGCCGUUUGCAAAAUCUCAAAACCAGAAGGGAUAAAUAAGAUAAUACUGUCUUCAAGCAGUAGCUAUAAGAACAAAUACUACCUCCGUUCCAUAAAGAUUGGCACGGCUUUGAACUGAGUUAGUUCAAAUCCGUGCCAACCUUUAUGACACGGAGGGAGUAGUAUAUAUGCGGUAGCAUAUAAGAGUCAAUAAUAGAGAGUAUUCUGUGGAAACC
RNAcentral lists this long non-coding RNA (257 nucleotides) under Brachypodium distachyon (stiff brome). RNAcentral's name for it is "long non-coding RNA (BDIS_LNC001599)". The record is from RNAcentral. Lineage: Eukaryota; Viridiplantae; Streptophyta; Magnoliopsida; Poales; Poaceae.